This 501-nucleotide long non-coding RNA is filed under the name Setaria viridis. Its description in RNAcentral is "long non-coding RNA (SVIR_LNC006751)". The record is from RNAcentral. Lineage: Eukaryota; Viridiplantae; Streptophyta; Magnoliopsida; Poales; Poaceae.
GAGGAAGACAGCAAAAAUCAUUCUACUGCAUCAACCAUGGCCAUUAGAACCAUCAUAAUACAGAGUGAUGCCCCAAAAAGAAAGAAGAAGAGAGGAAAGCUACAGAAGAACCCGCGAAAGAAGCCGCACAAGCACCCAAAACAAUGCACCACACAGCUUUUUACCCGCACCCAAGCUUUUACUCCAACCAGCCUAGCUUCACCAACUUCCAGCAACCAAUGACCUAGCCUCUUCCGCCCCACAUACAACCGUACCACCAAACAAUCCCGCAACAUGCCAACCCAAAUCCACCUCAGAAGCCUCAAGAAACACUACUUCCUCCCCCAAGCAUGCCAGCCAUAAUGCCCAAACCAGAGCCCAGCACGCAAAAAAAAAACCAAAACUCCUUACCUACCUUCGGCAUGAUAAUGCCAAUCAACGGAGGCUCCUCUUUAGAGUUCGAGAACAAGAGGCAGAGGCGAAACUAUUUCAGAGAAGUUAAUGUAAUCAUACCCGACGGAC